Molecule: ribosomal RNA, 1364 nt
Filed under: Arthrobacter sp. ok909
Lineage: Bacteria; Bacillati; Actinomycetota; Actinomycetes; Micrococcales; Micrococcaceae
Description: bacterial LSU rRNA
Rfam family: Bacterial large subunit ribosomal RNA
Source: RNAcentral
GGGGGGAUUCGGUGAUCCUAUGCUGCCGAGAAAAGCAUCGACGCGAGGUUUUAGCCGCCCGUACCCCAAACCGACACAGGUGAUCAGGUAGAGAAUACUAAGGCGAUCGAGAGAAUUAUGGUUAAGGAACUCGGCAAAAUGCCCCCGUAACUUCGGGAGAAGGGGGGCCCCAACCUUGAACACCACACGCUGGUGGGAGGGGAUCGGGGCCGCAGAGACCAGGGGGAAGCGACUGUUUACUAAAAACACAGGUCCGUGCGAAGUCGCAAGACGAUGUAUACGGACUGACUCCUGCCCGGUGCUGGAAGGUUAAGAGGACCGGUUAGCCGCAAGGCGAAGCUGAGAAUUUAAGCCCCAGUAAACGGCGGUGGUAACUAUAACCAUCCUAAGGUAGCGAAAUUCCUUGUCGGGUAAGUUCCGACCUGCACGAAUGGAGUAACGACUUCCCCGCUGUCUCAACCAUAAACUCGGCGAAAUUGCAGUACGAGUAAAGAUGCUCGUUACGCGCAGCAGGACGGAAAGACCCCGAGACCUUUACUAUAGUUUGGUAUUGGUGUUCGGAGUGGCUUGUGUAGGAUAGGUGGGAGACGUUGAAGCCCGGACGCCAGUUCGGGUGGAGUCAUCGUUGAAAUACCACUCUGGUCACUUUGGACAUCUAACUUCGGCCCGUAAUCCGGGUCAGGGACAGUGCCUGAUGGGUAGUUUAACUGGGGCGGUUGCCUCCUAAAAAGUAACGGAGGCGCCCAAAGGUUCCCUCAGCCUGGUUGGCAAUCAGGUGUCGAGUGUAAGUGCACAAGGGAGCUUGACUGUGAGAGAGACAUCUCGAGCAGGGACGAAAGUCGGGACUAGUGAUCCGGCGGUACAUUGUGGAAUGGCCGUCGCUCAACGGAUAAAAGGUACCUCGGGGAUAACAGGCUGAUCUUGCCCAAGAGUCCAUAUCGACGGCAUGGUUUGGCACCUCGAUGUCGGCUCGUCGCAUCCUGGGGCUGGAGUAGGUCCCAAGGGUUGGGCUGUUCGCCCAUUAAAGCGGUACGCGAGCUGGGUUUAGAACGUCGUGAGACAGUUCGGUCCCUAUCCGCUGCGCGCGCAGGAAAUUUGAGAAGGGCUGUCCUUAGUACGAGAGGACCGGGACGGACGAACCUCUGGUGUGUCAGUUGUACUGCCAAGUGCACCGCUGAUUAGCUACGUUCGGAUGGGAUAACCGCUGAAAGCAUCUAAGCGGGAAGCUCGCUUCGAGAUGAGAUUUCCAUACACCUUGUGUGUGAGAGGCCCCCAGCCAGACCACUGGGUUGAUAGGCCGGAUGUGGAAGCGAGGACUAACGACUCGUGAAGCUGACCGGUACUAAUAGGCCGAUAACUUACAC